This 256-nucleotide ribosomal RNA is filed under the name uncultured bacterium. Its description in RNAcentral is "partial 16S ribosomal RNA". It matches the Rfam family "Bacterial small subunit ribosomal RNA", at positions 524 to 776 of the family's 1533-position model. The record is from RNAcentral.
UACGUAGGUGGCAAGCGUUGUCCGGAAUUAUUGGGCGUAAAGCGCGCGCAGGCGGUCUUUUUAAGUCUGAUGUGAAAAGCCCCCCGGCUCAACCGGGGAGGGUCAUUGGAAACUGGGAGACUUGAGUGCAGAAGAGAAGAGUGGAAUUCCACGUGUAGCGGUGAAAUGCGUAGAGAUGUGGAGGAACACCAGUGGCGAAGGCGACUCUUUGGUCUGUAACUGACGCUGAGGCGCGAAAGCGUGGGGAGCAAACAGG